This 496-nucleotide ribosomal RNA is filed under the name uncultured bacterium. RNAcentral's name for it is "partial 16S ribosomal RNA". It matches the Rfam family "Bacterial small subunit ribosomal RNA", at positions 28 to 506 of the family's 1533-position model. The record is from RNAcentral.
GAUGAACGCUGGCGGCGUGCCUAAUACAUGCAAGUCGAGCGAACAGACGAGGAGCUUGCUCCUUCGACGUUAGCGGCGGACGGGUGAGUAACACGUAGGUAACCUACCUAUAAGACUGGGAUAACUUCGGGAAACCGGAGCUAAUACCGGAUAAUAUUUCGAACCGCAUGGUUCGAUAGUGAAAGAUGGCUUUGCUAUCACUUAUAGAUGGACCUGCGCCGUAUUAGCUAGUUGGUAAGGUAACGGCUUACCAAGGCAACGAUACGUAGCCGACCUGAGAGGGUGAUCGGCCACACUGGAACUGAGACACGGUCCAGACUCCUACGGGAGGCAGCAGUAGGGAAUCUUCCGCAAUGGGCGAAAGCCUGACGGAGCAACGCCGCGUGAGUGAGGAAGGUCUUCGGAUCGUAAAACUCUGUUAUUAGGGAAGAACAAACGUGUAAGUAACUGUGCACGUCUUGACGGUACCUAAUCAGAAAGCCACGGCUAACUACGU